GAAUAUAACUAGGCUCAAGCUAAGAUUCUGCUCGUGAGCGUAAUGGUAUAAGCAUGUCUGACUGUGAGACUGACUGGUCGAACAGAGUCGAAAGUCGGCCAUCGUGAUCCGAGAGUCCCGUGUGGAAGGGCUCUCACUCAAC
Molecule: non-coding RNA, 142 nt
Organism: Morus notabilis
Lineage: Eukaryota; Viridiplantae; Streptophyta; Magnoliopsida; Rosales; Moraceae
Source: Rfam